UACGAAGGGUGCAAGCGUUGCUCGGAAUUAUUGGGCGUAAAGCGCACGUAGGCGGCUUUGCAAGUCGGAUGUGAAAUCCCUCGGCUUAACCAAGGAAGUGCAUCCGAAACUGCAAAGCUUGAGUACUUAAGAGGAUCGCGGAAUUCCCGGUGUAGAGGUGAAAUUCGUAGAUAUCGGGAGGAACACGAGUGGCGAAGGCGCCGAUCUGGGAAGAUACUGACGCUGAGGUGCGAAAGCGUGGGGAGCAAACAGG
RNAcentral lists this ribosomal RNA (253 nucleotides) under uncultured bacterium. RNAcentral describes it as "partial 16S ribosomal RNA". It matches the Rfam family "Bacterial small subunit ribosomal RNA", at positions 524 to 776 of the family's 1533-position model. The record is from RNAcentral.